This 394-nucleotide long non-coding RNA is filed under the name Androctonus crassicauda. Lineage: Eukaryota; Metazoa; Arthropoda; Arachnida; Scorpiones; Buthidae. The record is from RNAcentral.
AUUGAAUGGAAAGUAGCGUCAUCUGUUGACCAAAAAAAAUACCAUAAGCAUAUCUUUUUUUUGUUUUGUUUUUAAGCCCCUUUUCAAACACUGAGAUUACUAAAGGGCGGGGCCAGUUCCAACCACAGGCUGCACCCAUACCCACGGAGAGGAACCGAAUGGCGAAAGAUGGGGACCACCAGAAUCCCGAAAAAACUUUUUCGUCAGUUGGCGGAUUCGGGACGUGAAUCCGGGUCCUUCUUCGUGGCACACCAACGUGUUACCACUCGGUCAUCCGGCCGCCACCAUAAGCAUAUCAAAAGCUUCCUCAUUAAUAUUCAAAGGACAGAUCCGAAGCAAUUGGACAAACAGGUUCCAAUCAUGGCAAAUAUUAUCCGGACCUUUAAUACUCCGC